GGGAGUAUAGCUCAGUGGUAGGGCAUGUGCUUAGCAUGUGUCAAGUCCAGGGUUCAAUCCUCAGUACCUCCA
RNAcentral lists this transfer RNA (72 nucleotides) under Camelus bactrianus (Bactrian camel). It matches the Rfam family "tRNA". From Rfam's summary of the family: Transfer RNA (tRNA) molecules are approximately 80 nucleotides in length. Their secondary structure includes four short double-helical elements and three loops (D, anti-codon, and T loops). RNAcentral also lists the same sequence under 2 other names. The record is from Rfam by way of RNAcentral. Lineage: Eukaryota; Metazoa; Chordata; Mammalia; Artiodactyla; Camelidae.